GACGAACGCUGGCGGCGUGCCUAAUACAUGCUAGUAGAACGCUGAAGGAGGAGCUUGCUUCUCUGGAUGAGUUGCGAACGGGUGAGUAACGCGUAGGUAACCUGCCUGGUAGCGGGGGAUAACUAUUGGAAACGAUAGCUAAUACCGCAUAACAGUAGAUGUUGCAUGACAUUUGCUUAAAAGGUGCAAUUGCAUCACUACCAGAUGGACCUGCGUUGUAUUAGCUAGUUGGUGGGGUAACGGCUCACCAAGGCGACGAUACAUAGCCGACCUGAGAGGGUGAUCGGCCACACUGGGACUGAGACACGGCCCAGACUCCUACGGGAGGCAGCAGUAGGGAAUCUUCGGCAAUGGACGGAAGUCUGACCGAGCAACGCCGCGUGAGUGAAGGAGGUUUUCGGAUCGUAAAGCUCUGUUGUAAGAGAAGAACGAGUGUGAGAGUGGAAAGUUCACACUGUGACGGUAUCUACCAGAAA
This 476-nucleotide ribosomal RNA is filed under the name Streptococcus mitis. RNAcentral describes it as "bacterial SSU rRNA". It matches the Rfam family "Bacterial small subunit ribosomal RNA", at positions 28 to 489 of the family's 1533-position model. The record is from RNAcentral. Lineage: Bacteria; Bacillati; Bacillota; Bacilli; Lactobacillales; Streptococcaceae.